AUGAAUGCUGGCGGCGUGCCUAAUACAUGCAAGUCGAGCGGUAACAGGGUUUCACCGUUUCCUUGACACACCUAGCGUAUUAUCGUAGGUUGUAGUUUCGAGGGAACAGUGAAACUGCUGACGAGCGGCGGACGGCUGAGUAACGCGUGGGAACGGACCCCAAACUGAGGGAUAACUAGUCGAAAGAUUAGCUAAUACCGCAUGUGAUCUUCGGAUUAAAGGAUUUAUCCGGUUUGGGACUGGCCUGCGUAGGAUUAGAUAGUUGGUAGGGUAAUGGCCUACCAAGUCGACGAUCCUUAGAUGGUUUGAGAGGAUGAUCAUCCAGACUGGGACUGAGACACGGCCCAGACUCCUACGGGAGGCAGCAGUAGGGAAUCUUUCACAAUGGGCGAAAGCCUGAUGGAGCCAACGCCGCGUGCAGGAUGACGGCCUUCGGGUUGUAAACUGCUUUUAUAUCCGAGAAAUAUGAUGGUAAGAUAUGAAUAAGGAUCGGCUAACUACGUGCCAGCCGCCGC
This 515-nucleotide ribosomal RNA is filed under the name uncultured bacterium. Its description in RNAcentral is "bacterial SSU rRNA". It matches the Rfam family "Bacterial small subunit ribosomal RNA", at positions 29 to 518 of the family's 1533-position model. The record is from RNAcentral.